RNAcentral lists this ribosomal RNA (674 nucleotides) under uncultured Bacilli bacterium. RNAcentral describes it as "bacterial SSU rRNA". It matches the Rfam family "Bacterial small subunit ribosomal RNA", at positions 84 to 744 of the family's 1533-position model. Lineage: Bacteria; Bacillati; Bacillota; Bacilli. The record is from RNAcentral.
GAAAAAGAAGAGUGGCGAACGGGUGAGUAACACGUGGGUAACCUGCCCAUCAGAAGGGGAUAACACUUGGAAACAGGUGCUAAUACCGUAUAACAAUCAAAACCGCAUGGUUUUGAUUUGAAAGGCGCUUUCGGGUGUCGCUGAUGGAUGGACCCGCGGUGCAUUAGCUAGUUGGUGAGGUAACGGCUCACCAAGGCCACGAUGCAUAGCCGACCUGAGAGGGUGAUCGGCCACAUUGGGACUGAGACACGGCCCAAACUCCUACGGGAGGCAGCAGUAGGGAAUCUUCGGCAAUGGACGAAAGUCUGACCGAGCAACGCCGCGUGAGUGAAGAAGGUUUUCGGAUCGUAAAACUCUGUUGUUAGAGGAGAACAAGGAUGAGAGUAACUGUUCAUCCCUUGACGGUAUCUAACCAGAAAGCCACGGCUAACUACGUGCCAGCAGCCGCGGUAAUACGUAGGUGGCAAGCGUUGUCCGGAUUUAUUGGGCGUAAAGCGAGCGCAGGCGGUUUCUUAAGUCUGAUGUGAAAGCCCCCGGCUCAACCGGGGAGGGUCAUUGGAAACUGGGAGACUUGAGUGCAGAAGAGGAGAGUGGAAUUCCAUGUGUAGCGGUGAAAUGCGUAGAUAUAUGGAGGAACACCAGUGGCGAAGGCGGCUCUCUGGUCUGUAACUGAC